UACGUAGGGGGCAAGCGUUGUCCGGAAUUACUGGGCGUAAAGAGCUCGUAGGUGGUUUGUCGCGUUGUUCGUGAAAACCGGGGGCUUAACCCUCGGCGUGCGGGCGAUACGGGCAGACUUGAGUACUGCAGGGGAGACUGGAAUUCCUGGUGUAGCGGUGGAAUGCGCAGAUAUCAGGAGGAACACCGGUGGCGAAGGCGGGUCUCUGGGCCGAUACUGACGCUGAGGCUCGAAAGCUAGGGGAGCAAACAGG
Molecule: ribosomal RNA, 253 nt
Filed under: uncultured bacterium
Lineage: Bacteria
Description: partial 16S ribosomal RNA
Rfam family: Bacterial small subunit ribosomal RNA
Source: RNAcentral